Molecule: small nuclear RNA, 107 nt
Filed under: Cervus hanglu yarkandensis (Yarkand deer)
Lineage: Eukaryota; Metazoa; Chordata; Mammalia; Artiodactyla; Cervidae
Source: RNAcentral
GUGCUCGCUUCGGCGGCACAUAUACUGAAACUGGAAUGAUGCAGAGAAGAUUAGCAUGGCCCCUGCGCAAGGAUGACGUGCAAAUUUGUGAAGCGUUCCAUAUUUUU